CCUACGGGCGGCAGCAGUGGGGAAUAUUGGACAAUGGGGGCAACCCUGAUCCAGCCAUGCCGCGUGUGUGAAGAAGGCCCUCGGGUUGUAAAGCACUUUCAGUGAGGAAGAACGCCUGGUGGUUAAUACCCAUCAGUAAAGACAUCACUCACAGAAGAAGCACCGGCUAACUCCGUGCCAGCAGCCGCGGUAAUACGGAGGGUGCGAGCGUUAAUCGGAAUUACUGGGCGUAAAGCGCGCGUAGGUGGCUUGAUAAGCCGGUUGUGAAAGCCCCGGGCUCAACCUGGGAACGGCAUCCGGAACUGUCAAGCUAGAGUGCAGGAGAGGAAGGUAGAAUUCCCGGUGUAGCGGUGAAAUGCGUAGAGAUCGGGAGGAAUACCAGUGGCGAAGGCGGCCUUCUGGACUGACACUGACACUGAGGUGCGAAAGCGUGGGUAGCAAACAGGAUUAGAUACCCUUGUAGUC
Molecule: ribosomal RNA, 465 nt
Filed under: Vreelandella stevensii
Lineage: Bacteria; Pseudomonadati; Pseudomonadota; Gammaproteobacteria; Oceanospirillales; Halomonadaceae
Description: partial 16S ribosomal RNA
Rfam family: Bacterial small subunit ribosomal RNA
Source: RNAcentral